UAGCUAGUUGGUGAGGUAAAGGCUUACCAAGGCGACGAUCUGUAGCGGGUCUGAGAGGAUGAUCCGCCACACUGGAACUGAGACACGGUCCAGACUCCUACGGGAGGCAGCAGUGGGGAAUUUUGGACAAUGGGGGCAACCCUGAUCCAGCCAUGCCGCGUGAGUGAAGAAGGCCUUCGGGUUGUAAAGCUCUUUCGGCCGGGAAGAAAUCGCAUGGGCCAAUACCCUGUGUGGAUGACGGUACCGGAAUAAGAAGCACCGGCUAACUACGUGCCAGCAGCCGCGGUAAUACGUAGGGUGCGAGCGUUAAUCGGAAUUACUGGGCGUAAAGCGUGCGCAGGCGGUUUUGUAAGACAGGCGUGAAAUCCCCGGGCUUAACCUGGGAACUGCGUUUGUGACUGCAAGGCUAGAGUACGGCAGAGGGGGGUGGAAUUCCACGUGUAGCAGUGAAAUGCGUAGAGAUGUGGAGGAACACCAAUGGCGAAGGCAGCCCCCUGGGUCGAUACUGACGCUCAUGCACGAAAGCGUGGGUAGCAAACCGGAUUAGAUACCCUGGUAGUCCACGCCCUAAACUAUGUCAACUAGGUGUUGGGUGGGUAAAACCAUUUAGUACCGUAGCUAACGCGUGAAGUUGACCGCCUGGGGAGUACGGCCGCAAGGUUAAAACUCAAAGGAAUUGACGGGGACCCGCACAAGCGGUGGAUGAUGUGGAUUAAUUCGAUGCAACGCGAAAAACCUUACCUACCCUUGACAUGCCAGGAACUUGCCAGAGAUGGCUUGGUGCCCGAAAGGGAGCCUGGACACAGGUGCUGCAUGGCUGUCGUCAGCUCGUGUCGUGAGAUGUUGGGUUAAGUCCCGCAACGAGCGCAACCCUUGUCGUUAAUUGCCAUCAUUUAGUUGGGCACUUUAACGAGACUGCCGGUGACAAACCGGAGGAAGGUGGGGAUGACGUCAAGUCCUCAUGGCCCUUAUGGGUAGGGCUUCACACGUCAUACAAUGGUCGGUACAAAGGGUUGCCAAGCCGCGAGGCGGAGCCAAUCCCAGAAAGCCGAUCGUAGUCCGGAUUGCAGGCUGCAACUCGCCUGCAUGAAGUCGGAAUCGCUAGUAAUCGUGGAUCAGCAUGUCACGGUGAAUACGUUCCCGGGUCUUGUACACACCGCCCGUCACACCAUGGGAGCGGGUUCCGCCAGAAGUAGGUAGCCUAACCGCAAGGGGGGCGCUACCACGGCGGGGUUCGUGACUGGGGUGAAGUCGUAACAAGGUAGCCGUAGGGGAACCUGCGGCUG
This 1286-nucleotide ribosomal RNA is filed under the name metagenome. RNAcentral describes it as "bacterial SSU rRNA". It matches the Rfam family "Bacterial small subunit ribosomal RNA", at positions 242 to 1520 of the family's 1533-position model. The record is from RNAcentral.